CUGAUGGCGACCGGCGUACGGGUGAGUAACGCGUAUCCAACCUGCCCUUUACUACGGGACAGCCCGUCGAAAGGCGGAUUAAUACCGUAUGUUGUCAUGUUGAUGCAUAUUUUCAUGACCAAAGGCUUCGGCCGGUAAAGGAUGGGGAUGCGUCUGAUUAGCUUGCCGGCGGGGUAACGGCCCACCGGGGCGACGAUCAGUAGGGGUUCUGAGAGGAAGGUCCCCCACAUUGGAACUGAGACACGGUCCAAACUCCUACGGAAGGCAGCAG
This 271-nucleotide ribosomal RNA is filed under the name uncultured bacterium. Its description in RNAcentral is "partial 16S ribosomal RNA". It matches the Rfam family "Bacterial small subunit ribosomal RNA", at positions 85 to 354 of the family's 1533-position model. The record is from RNAcentral.